CAGUCAUACCAACGGGAAAUCAACCUUUUGAGCUCGGUCUCGUGGGUUUUGAAGAGUUUCAAAGCCUUCGGAUUCGCGGGAUUGGGAUCUCUCGGUGUACUUUCUCGUACGGUUAGUCAACAUCGGUUUUGAAUGUCAUAAAAUGACUGGAGGAAUGUAGCUUCGAUCUCGUAUUGAAGUGUUAUAGCCUUUGGUAGAUGUGAUGUUUGAGACCGAGGAUUGCAACGGAUACCCUUCAGGGCUAUACGUCUGAUCUCUGAUACGUUGCCCUGAUGUUGAAAGCUUGCUUAUGAUGUUAGGGUAUUACGGUCAAAAGGUUAGAACGAAUUACAUUCGUUAAGGAUGUUGACGUAAUGACUUUAAACGA
Molecule: ribosomal RNA, 367 nt
Filed under: uncultured Glomeraceae
Lineage: Eukaryota; Fungi; Glomeromycota; Glomeromycetes; Glomerales; Glomeraceae
Description: partial large subunit ribosomal RNA
Source: RNAcentral